GAUGAAGAACGCAGCGAAAUGCGAUACGUAAUGUGAAUUGCAGAAUUCAGUGAAUCAUCGAGUCUUUGAACGCACAUUGCGCCCCCUAGUAUUCCGGGGGGCAUGCCUGUCCGAGCGUCAUUGCUGCCCUCAAGCACGGCUUGUGUGUUGGGCCUCCGUCCUCCUCCCGGGGGACGGGCCCGAAAGGCAGCGGCGGCACCGCGUCCGGUCCUCGAGCGUAUGGGGCUUCGUCACCCGCUCUUGUAGGCCCGGCCGGCGCUUGCCGACACAUCAAUCUUUUUUCCAGGUUGACCUCGGAUCAGGUAGGGAUACCCGCUGAACUUAAGCAUAUCAAUAAGCGGAGGA
RNAcentral lists this unclassified non-coding RNA (345 nucleotides) under soil metagenome. RNAcentral describes it as "partial contains 5.8S ribosomal RNA, internal transcribed spacer 2, and large subunit ribosomal RNA". The stretch from base 1 to 120 matches the Rfam family "5.8S ribosomal RNA", at positions 35 to 154 of the family's 154-position model. The record is from RNAcentral.